Molecule: transfer RNA, 67 nt
Filed under: Chalarodon madagascariensis (Madagascar iguana)
Lineage: Eukaryota; Metazoa; Chordata; Lepidosauria; Squamata
Description: tRNA-Ser specifying AGY codons
Source: RNAcentral
GAGAAGUGUAUUGAACACAAAGAACUGCUAAUUUUUACUACUGAAGUUAAAAUCCUCAGACUUCUCA